Molecule: long non-coding RNA, 609 nt
Organism: Sycon ciliatum
Lineage: Eukaryota; Metazoa; Porifera; Calcarea; Leucosolenida; Sycettidae
Exons: 5
Source: RefSeq, a predicted model, not a curated record
GAGCCACAAUAACCUUACAAGCCUUCCUCUAAAUGUAUUGGGCAGCCUUAGAGAUCUUGUGUUGCUGGAAAUUCAAGGAAACAACCUAACUCUGGAUCAUCGACUAUGUGGAUUGUUUGCUCUAAAAGCUCGUGCUGAUGUGAUUAUAAUGGCCAGCAGAAUAUCCAAUUACGUUAGAAGUCUGAAUUCAACAUUUUGUUCCCAGGACUGUUCCAGGGCACCAAAAGGAGAGCCUACAUGCAACACCAGCUCUAGAUGUGUUGGUGUUCUUAGUAACUAUAUAUGCAAAGAGAUUAAAUGCCCAGUGCAGAAUAUUUUGAAUGGCACAUCCAAUAGCACAAUAAUCAAAUAUUUCGAAGCUGUCCAAUUUACUUGUAAUGCUGGCUUUUGGUUGAGUGGACCUGCAACAUCAAAGUGCGUCAAUCAUGAAACUCUUACUAAGGUACCACAGUGUUUAGAGAUUAAAUGCCCAGUGCGGAAUAUUUUGAAUGGCAGAGCCAAUAGCACAUCAAUCAAAUAUUUCGAAGCUGUCCAAUUUACUUGUAAUGCUGGUUUUUGGUUGAGUGGCCCUGCAACAUCAAAAUGCGUCAACCAUGAAACUCUUACUAA